Molecule: small RNA, 254 nt
Filed under: Arabidopsis thaliana (thale cress)
Lineage: Eukaryota; Viridiplantae; Streptophyta; Magnoliopsida; Brassicales; Brassicaceae
Description: ATSL086800
Source: RNAcentral
UUUCUGUCAUGUAUUUACUUUGAUUGAAGUUGUAGAUGCUAGACUAUCAACUUGGCUAUUAUUCUGGCUGCUUUACGACGAAGGACGCGUGAUAGACAUGUUUUCUUCUGCUAAAUUCAUGAGCCUUUUCAGCCCAGGCAACACAACCGUUCCCAAGUCAGGUCUAUCUUUCCGUCUUAACUCUGCGCAUUGUAAACCGAUUUUUGCUAAUAUUAAAGCCUCUUCAAUUGGCCAAUCAGUAACAAGAGGGUCAA